This 253-nucleotide ribosomal RNA is filed under the name uncultured bacterium. Its description in RNAcentral is "partial 16S ribosomal RNA". It matches the Rfam family "Bacterial small subunit ribosomal RNA", at positions 524 to 776 of the family's 1533-position model. The record is from RNAcentral.
UACGUAGGCAGCGAGCGUUGUUCGGAUUUAUUGGGCGUAAAGGGCGCGUAGGCGGCUUGUCAAGUGGAUGGUGAAAUCCCUCGGCUUAACCGAGGAACUGCCAUCCAGACUGCUUUGCUUGAGGCCGGGAGAGGUAAGUGGAAUUCCCAGUGUAGCGGUGAAAUGCGUAGAUAUUGGGAGGAACACCAGUGGCGAAGGCGGCUUACUGGACCGGUUCUGACGCUGAGGCGCGAAAGCGUGGGGAGCAAACGGG